AUUGAACGCUGGCGGCAGACUUAACACAUGCAAGUCGAGCGGGGUGAUGGUGCUUGCACUAUCACUUAGCGGCGGACGGGUGAGUAAUGCUUAGGAAUCUGCCUAUUAGUGGGGGACAACAUCUCGAGAGGGAUGCUAAUACCGCAUACGUCCUACGGGAGAAAGCAGGGGAUCACUUGUGACCUUGCGCUAAUAGAUGAGCCUAAGUCGGAUUAGCUAGUUGGUGGGGUAAAGGCCUACCAAGGCGACGAUCUGUAGCGGGUCUGAGAGGAUGAUCCGCCACACUGGGACUGAGACACGGCCCAAACUCCUACGGGAGGCAGCAGUGGGGAAUAUUGGACAAUGGGGGGAACCCUGAUCCAGCCAUGCCGCGUGUGUGAAGAAGGCCUUAUGGUUGUAAAGCACUUUAAGCGAGGAGGAGACUCUUUUGGUUAAUACCCAAGAUGAGUGGACGUUACUCGCAGAAUAAGCACCGGCUAACUCUGUGCCAGCCGCCGCAGUAA
Molecule: ribosomal RNA, 503 nt
Filed under: uncultured bacterium
Lineage: Bacteria
Description: partial 16S ribosomal RNA
Rfam family: Bacterial small subunit ribosomal RNA
Source: RNAcentral